GGAUGUGAGGGUGAUCUGGCUGUGACAUCUGUCAUCCCAUUGAUUGCCAGGGUUGCCUCAACUAAUCUGGCUGGCUAGCUAGGCGGGUGCCCUCUUCCUCCCUCACUGCCCCAUGUGUGUCCAUCUGGAAGCUGUGUACUUGGUCAAAGAGGAUGACCUUCCAUGAUAGAGGAAGACCAUUCUUCGGUCAAGGGUAUAUGAGUAGCUGCGCUCCCCUGCUAGAACCUCCAAACAAGCUCUCAAGAUUAAAUAUCUUUUCCUCCAGAAAGCUCUUCUGAACUAGCAGCCUGGCUCAGUCUACAUUUCAUUGCUUCCAUUGUACCAUGGACACAGCCAUCUUACCUGUUUAUCCAUUUGU
RNAcentral lists this small nuclear RNA (358 nucleotides) under Prolemur simus (greater bamboo lemur). RNAcentral's name for it is "7SK RNA (ENSPSMG00000025714.1)". It matches the Rfam family "7SK RNA". Rfam says of the family: 7SK was discovered as an abundant small nuclear RNA in the mid-70s but a possible function has only recently been suggested. Two independent studies have found that 7SK RNA binds the CDK9/cyclin T complex (known as elongation factor P-TEFb). P-TEFb activates transcription by phosphorylating the C-terminal domain of RNA polymerase II. The record is from RNAcentral. Lineage: Eukaryota; Metazoa; Chordata; Mammalia; Primates; Lemuridae.